Molecule: RNA transcript, 2334 nt
Organism: Dicentrarchus labrax (European seabass)
Lineage: Eukaryota; Metazoa; Chordata; Actinopteri; Moronidae
Exons: 2
Source: RefSeq, a predicted model, not a curated record
UGUCUCUGAACCCCCUAAACAGCCUGAGUCCCUUCCAACUAUCACGCAUGGUCACUGGCUCCGAAGUAAAGGAGGCAGAGGGGGUGUGCACCAAAUGCCCAUGAUGAGGUUCCCCAACCCCCAGCUGAUGCCAAGCGACGGAUCCGCCGAGUGGGAUCCAGAGGUGUUUGUCUACAGGCCAUGGCAGCCAGAUGAGCUGAAGGAGGUUGCAGGGGAAUUACCUGACCCCCAAAAGGCUGGAGGUGAGAAAUGGAUCACAGCAAUGCAACAACUACUCAUGUAUAACCCAACUCUGCAGGAGGUAGAAGCUGUGUGUCGUAGAUGCCUCAAAUUAAGGUGGGCCAACAUCCGACCAUCUAUCUGGAGGACGACCGCACCCAUUGGAUCGGGGGAGUAUGGAGAUAUGAUCUCAAGCCUGUAUGAUGCGGUGCGUGAGGCUUUUCCCCUAAGAGUGUGUUGGGCAGAGAUCCACAACACCAAGCAGAAAGAGGGUGAGUCAGCUGCUGAUUAUCGCAUUCGUAUGGAGAUUGUUUUUGCAGCUCAUUCAGGCAUUGAUCCAGACAAUGAGGCGUACAGUGACUUGUUAAAAACUGCCUUGGUGAAUGGACUCCACCCUACCCUGAAGAAUGAUGUGAUGGCUACGUGUGUUGGCUGGGAGACAGGGUCCAUAGCGAUGGUGUGGACACAUGUAUUACAUACUGAAAGGAACAAGGUUGAAGUGGAAACUCGACAGACAAAGAAGCUACAAACUGCUCAGCUGUUGUACUAUCAGCAGGGUGCACCAACCCCAGGACAGCCAUGGCAACCCCACAACAACAGAACUCCUGGGAGGGGGAGGAAGAGAGGGGGCCCACAGGGAAGGCCAAUCCAGAUGAGGUGUUACAAAUGCAACAACCUAGGCCAUGUGUGGAGGGAGUGUUCUAACGCAGGGCCCCACAGACAAAGGGGACACGAGCCAGAGGAGACGUGGCCACAUGCACCACCGAGAGGACUUGCUGUGCAUUCUCCAGGAUUCCAGGCAGAGCAACCAUAGGAGACAGUGGAGGCAGGUCAGAGAAUUGAGCAGCACAUAAACAUAGAGAUAGGGACAAACACACACACAGACACAUGCACACACAUAGAAACAGAUGCAGACCAUGACAAACCUGUUGUUACAUAUCAGCAAUACGUACAGUUAACAUUGGAUUCUAGAACGCCCCCUAGGUUGACUCUUACUGUGCAUAGAGUUAAAGUGACAUUCCUUCCGUAGACUCAGGAGCAGAGGUAUCUGUAAUCCAAAGUAAAAGUAAUUCCUGAAGCCCCUAGAACAACAAAACGUCUAAAAACGAUAGGUGCAUCAGGUAUGCCAUAAUUUGAACCGGUAUCUGAUCUAUUAUCGGUCAGUUUUGCGGAUUACAGGGGAGAACAUCAAUUUCUCCUUUUUGAUGUAUGCCCAGUGAACGUUCUGGGUAGGGAUCUAAUGUGUGCUUUGAGUAUUGAUGUACAUUGUAAUCCAACAGGGAUAAAAGCAACAUCAGUUAGGACUGUACAUACACACAUACAUGGAGUCAGACUAAUGCCUUUGACAGUUGAAGAGGAAGCAACCCCUGUUAGAGUACAGGCUAAAUCUACUUUUAGACCAUGUAAAAGACAAUAUCCACUUAGUCCAGAAGCUGUUGCGGGCAUUGCUCCGGUCAUUCAGGCGCUAAUAGAUCAGGGUGCCAUUGUGGAAUGCCCUAACUCACAAUGCAACUCCCCCAUCUUACCUGUUAAGAAACCAAAUGGGUCCUGGAGACCAGUUCAAGAUCUUAGGGGUAUAAAUGAAGCUGUGCAACUUUUGGCACCGACUGUACCCAAUGUUACAACAUUAAUGUCACAAGUGCCAUCAGGGGCUUGUUGGUUUACAGUAAUUGAUUUGGCUAAUGCAUAUUUCAGUAUUCCUGUUCAUCCUGACUCACAGUUCUGGUUUGCUUUCACCUUCAAUGGCAAGAGGUAUACGUGGACGAGAAUGCCACAGGGCUAUGCUUCAAGUCCAACAUUCAAUUCAAUUCAAUUCAAUUUUAUUUGUAUAGCGCCAAUUCAUAACAGAAGUUAUCUCAGGACACUUUUCAAAUAGAGCAGGUCUAGACCGAACUCUUUAAAACAUUAUUUACAGAGACCCAACAGUACCACCAUGAGCAAGACCUUGGAGACAAGGGCAAGGAAAAACUGCCUGUUAAAAGGCAGAAACCUAGGACAGAUCCUCCGGCUCUAGGUGGGUGGUCGUCUGUCUCGACCAGUUGGGGUGAGAGAGAGAGAGAGAGAGAGAGAGAGAGAGAGAGAGAGAGACAGACAGACAGACAGACAGACAGACAG